RNAcentral lists this ribosomal RNA (274 nucleotides) under uncultured bacterium. RNAcentral's name for it is "partial 16S ribosomal RNA". It matches the Rfam family "Bacterial small subunit ribosomal RNA", at positions 523 to 796 of the family's 1533-position model. The record is from RNAcentral.
AUACGGAGGGUGCAAGCGUUAUCCGGAUUCAUUGGGUUUAAAGGGUGCGCAGGCGGACUUGUAAGUCAGUGGUGAAAUCCCGGGGCUCAACCUCGGAACUGCCAUUGAUACUGCAAGUCUUGAGUUUGGUUGAAGUGAGCGGAAUGUAGCAUGUAGCGGUGGAAUGCAUAGAUAUGCUACAGAACACCGAUCGCGAAGGCAGCUCACUAAACCAACACUGACGCUCAGGCACGAAAGCGUGGGGAGCGAACAGGAUUAGAAACCCCGGUAGUCC